AACGAACGCUGGCGGCAUGCCUAACACAUGCAAGUCGAACGAGACCUUCGGGUAUAGUGGCGCACGGGUGCGUAACGCGUGGGAACCUGCCCUUAGGUUCGGAAUAACUCCCCGAAAGGGGUGCUAAUACCGGAUAAUGUCUUCGGACCAAAGAUUUAUCGCCGUUGGAUGGGGCCGCGUUGGAUUAGCUAGUUGGUAGGGUAAAAGCCUACCAAGGCGACGAUCAAUAGCUGGUCUGAGAGGAUGAUCAGCCACACUGGGACUGAGACACGGCCCAGACUCCUACGGGAGGCAGCAGUGGGGAAUAUUGGACAAUGGGCGAAAGCCUGAUCCAGCAAUGCCGCGUGAGUGAUGAAGGCCGUAGGGUUGUAAAGCUCUUUUACCCGGGAUGAUAAUGACAGUACCGGGAGAAUAAGCUCCGGCUAACUCCGUG
This 433-nucleotide ribosomal RNA is filed under the name uncultured bacterium. Its description in RNAcentral is "partial 16S ribosomal RNA". It matches the Rfam family "Bacterial small subunit ribosomal RNA", at positions 29 to 507 of the family's 1533-position model. The record is from RNAcentral.